This 122-nucleotide ribosomal RNA is filed under the name uncultured eukaryote. RNAcentral describes it as "partial 18S ribosomal RNA". It matches the Rfam family "Eukaryotic small subunit ribosomal RNA", at positions 1539 to 1660 of the family's 1831-position model. The record is from RNAcentral.
GGUCUGGGUAAUCUUCUCAAAGCGAAUCGUGCUGGGGAUAGAUUAUUGUAAUUUUUAAUCUUCAACGAGGAAUUCCUAGUAAACGCAAGUCAUCAACUUGCAUUGAUUACGUCCCUGCCCUU